This 2371-nucleotide ribosomal RNA is filed under the name Enterococcus sp. S159_ASV_20. RNAcentral's name for it is "partial 23S ribosomal RNA". It matches the Rfam family "Bacterial large subunit ribosomal RNA", at positions 1 to 2384 of the family's 2925-position model. The record is from RNAcentral. Lineage: Bacteria; Bacillati; Bacillota; Bacilli; Lactobacillales; Enterococcaceae.
GGUUAAGUGAAUAAGGGCGCACGGUGGAUGCCUUGGCACUAGGAGCCGAUGAAGGACGGGACUAACACCGAUAUGCUUUGGGGAGCUGUAAGUAAGCUAUGAUCCAGAGAUUUCCGAAUGGGGGAACCCAAUAUCUUUUAUAGGAUAUUACUUUUCAGUGAAUACAUAGCUGAUUAGAGGUAGACGCAGAGAACUGAAACAUCUUAGUACCUGCAGGAAGAGAAAGAAAAUUCGAUUCCCUGAGUAGCGGCGAGCGAAACGGGAAGAGCCCAAACCAACAAGCUUGCUUGUUGGGGUUGUAGGACUCCAAUAUGGUAGUCUGUUAGUAUAGUUGAAGGAUUUGGAAAAUUCCGCUAAAGAGGGUGAAAGCCCCGUAGACGAAAUGCUGACAACACCUAGGAGGAUCCUGAGUACGGCGGAACACGAGAAAUUCCGUCGGAAUCCGCGGGGACCAUCCCGCAAGGCUAAAUACUCCCUAGUGACCGAUAGUGAACCAGUACCGUGAGGGAAAGGUGAAAAGCACCCCGGAAGGGGAGUGAAAUAGAUCCUGAAACCGUGUGCCUACAACAAGUCAAAGCUCGUUAAUGAGUGAUGGCGUGCCUUUUGUAGAAUGAACCGGCGAGUUACGAUUGCAUGCGAGGUUAAGUCGAAGAGACGGAGCCGCAGCGAAAGCGAGUCUGAAUAGGGCGAAUGAGUAUGUAGUCGUAGACCCGAAACCAUGUGAUCUACCCAUGUCCAGGUUGAAGGUGCGGUAAAACGCACUGGAGGACCGAACCCACGUACGUUGAAAAGUGCGGGGAUGAGGUGUGGGUAGCGGAGAAAUUCCAAACGAACUUGGAGAUAGCUGGUUCUCUCCGAAAUAGCUUUAGGGCUAGCCUCGGAAUUGAGAAUGAUGGAGGUAGAGCACUGUUUGGACUAGGGGCCCAUCUCGGGUUACCGAAUUCAGAUAAACUCCGAAUGCCAUUCAUUUAUAUCCGGGAGUCAGACUGCGAGUGAUAAGAUCCGUAGUCGAAAGGGAAACAGCCCAGACCACCAGCUAAGGUCCCAAAAUAUAUGUUAAGUGGAAAAGGAUGUGGGGUUGCACAGACAACUAGGAUGUUGGCUUAGAAGCAGCCACCAUUUAAAGAGUGCGUAAUAGCUCACUAGUCGAGUGACCCUGCGCCGAAAAUGUACCGGGGCUAAACAUAUUACCGAAGCUGUGGACUACACCAUUAGGUGUAGUGGUAGGAGAGCGUUCUAAGGGCGUUGAAGGUCGAUCGUGAGGACGGCUGGAGCGCUUAGAAGUGAGAAUGCCGGUAUGAGUAGCGAAAGACAGGUGAGAAUCCUGUCCACCGUAUGACUAAGGUUUCCUGGGGAAGGCUCGUCCGCCCAGGGUUAGUCGGGACCUAAGCCGAGGCCGAUAGGCGUAGGCGAUGGACAACAGGUUGAUAUUCCUGUACCAGUUGUUUUUGUUUGAGCAAUGGAGGGACGCAGUAGGCUAAGGAAUGCAUGCGAUUGGAAGUGCAUGUCCAAGCAAUGAGUCUUGAGUAGAGUUAAAUGCUUUACUCUUUAAGGACAAGUUGUGACGGGGAGCGAAAUAAUAGUAGCGAAGUUCCUGAUGUCACACUGCCAAGAAAAGCUUCUAGUGAGAAAACAACUGCCCGUACCGUAAACCGACACAGGUAGUCGAGGAGAGUAUCCUAAGGUGAGCGAGCGAACUCUCGUUAAGGAACUCGGCAAAAUGACCCCGUAACUUCGGGAGAAGGGGUGCUGACUUCGGUCAGCCGCAGUGAAUAGGCCCAAGCGACUGUUUAUCAAAAACACAGGUCUCUGCAAAAUCGUAAGAUGAAGUAUAGGGGCUGACGCCUGCCCGGUGCUGGAAGGUUAAGAGGAUGGGUUAGCUUCGGCGAAGCUCAGAAUUGAAGCCCCAGUAAACGGCGGCCGUAACUAUAACGGUCCUAAGGUAGCGAAAUUCCUUGUCGGGUAAGUUCCGACCCGCACGAAAGGCGUAACGAUUUGGGCACUGUCUCAACGAGAGACUCGGUGAAAUUUUAGUACCUGUGAAGAUGCAGGUUACCCGCGACAGGACGGAAAGACCCCAUGGAGCUUUACUGUAGUUUGAUAUUGAGUGUUUGUACCACAUGUACAGGAUAGGUAGGAGCCGAUGAGACCGGAACGCUAGUUUCGGAGGAGGCGCUGGUGGGAUACUACCCUUGUGUUAUGAACCCUCUAACCCGCACCACUAAUCGUGGUGGGAGACAGUGUCAGAUGGGCAGUUUGACUGGGGCGGUCGCCUCCUAAAAGGUAACGGAGGCGCCCAAAGGUUCCCUCAGAAUGGUUGGAAAUCAUUCGAAGAGUGUAAAGGCAGAAGGGAGCUUGACUGCGAGACCUA